UCCAGCCUCUGGCCCCACGCUGCCUCACACACCCUGGCCAAGCCCCCCUUCUCCACAAUAUGUUUCUAAUCUGCCCAGGAACAGUCACCACUUCGGUUUUCCUGCCUGGUCUAAUCAGCUUCGCCUCUGGGCCUCGGCGUCCCGGUGUUCGUGUCAGAAGUGGGAUCUGAACUAGAGCUUCCAGUGACUCCCCAGGAGCAGCAUGUGACCAAGGGAAGUAUCCAUGGGACCCUUUGUCGUCCGUUACUUUCUCACAGCACCUGGGAUUAUGGGUAAGUUCUCUUUCAGAUUUGAGCUCCAUGAAGUUGUGUUUAGAGCGCUCUGAAUUUUAUAUGAGCAAAUUUUGGUCCAAACUAGCUUUGAAGUUGCAACAAACU
Molecule: long non-coding RNA, 377 nt
Organism: Tupaia belangeri chinensis (Chinese tree shrew)
Lineage: Eukaryota; Metazoa; Chordata; Mammalia; Scandentia; Tupaiidae
Exons: 2
Source: RefSeq, a predicted model, not a curated record